AGCGGCAUGUGGACUAAUCCCGAAGAGUAUGGUCUUUUUAUAUUACUAGUACAGUGCCCGUGCAUUGCCACGGGCUCUUAAGUUUUUCACUUUCACAUGUAAACAUAAUGCACACGAAAACCCAUUUGAUAGAAAAUUUGCUUUUCUAUGCAUAUAACAAGUGUAUAAGCACAACACACUGUUUGAAAGUAGAAGUUGACAUCAAGCCAUAAAAGAACUGUAGUAAUAUACGAAAUGCUGAAAAUUCAUGGUCCUGGGAUGAACAACCUGGAAGGCUGGAAGAGUCGAAGGUGAGGAGACCAAAGGCACCAUGACCUGAGGGCCUUGGCGAAUGGCGACCUUCGCCCAUGUUACUCAAACAUGUAUGUGUUGUAUUUGUUUGCAUGCUGUCAUGAGGAAGAGGGCCUCAGGCUCACAGCAGCAGACCCCAAUAAGUGAUAUGUAUCUGGCAACAUCUAGUUUUCUGCAGGUGGAAUAAUAUUGACACAGACCACACAUGAAAAUAAUAAUCUGUGGGAACGGUUACCAAAUAAGAACGCAAACACAAAUUUGUAGGUACUCUGAUAUGGUCAAAUAGACUGUACCUGACUUCCAUUGGCAUGAUCCAAAAGUGUGCAGUUGCAUAUAUAUGCUAAUCAAGCAUUUAUCCCUCUCCCGAAAUCAAAAUUAUUAGUCUCGUUGUAAGCUCCUGACCUUCUCUAUGAUUCAGACCCGACACUACUCUAAUGUAUCCCCAAUAAAAAUUAUUAGUCUCUUUGUAAGCUCCUGACCUUUGUCUAAGAUUCAGACCCAAAAAUGACACUACUCUAAUGUAUCCCCAAAUCAAAAUUAUUUGUCUCUUUGUAAGCUCAUGACCUUCUCUAAGAUUCAGACCCAAAAAUGACACUACUCUAAUAUAUGUAACCACUGAUGUUUUCUCAUGAUAAAAUGGAUUACUCCUAAUUAUUAAUUCACACAUGUAUCCUUGGAAUAGUCUACAAUUUGCUGAUGCCUAUAUGAUGCAUAACAACGAAGGUAAAGCACGCUCAGCUAGACCAUUAGUGUAUGACAAAACAUGGACUACUGUACAGCUCACAUACCUUCAGAUCACGGUUGAACUUUGUGAGUCCAGCAACUCCUUCAGGUGCGCAAUGGAUGACUCUGAAAUAAGCUUACUUGAGCAUAUUAACACUUCUUCAGUGCUCAUAACCCCUUCGUCUGAGCCAUCUUCUCCCCUCGAUCACCAUGUGACUUCUGAGGCUUCACAGGAGAAAACCUACCUGGACGAUUCUGGGAACUACAUGCUCCCUCCCAGCAAUGCUCUCAUCGACCUGCAUAUGAAGCCCCAAAUUACACCUCAGCGUGCAGAGAAUUAGGAAUCCUAGGUUUUCUGAUCAGUUAACAAUUCACAUAACAGAUUGCAAAUAAGUAUUUCUCACGGCUUUCAGCAAUGCCUUCUCAACGGAAUGCCUUGGACGAGGCAAUCCGGCAAUUUCAGGCAAUCCGGCAACCACUUGCAGCGCCUAAAAGACACCAAUUACGGAAGCACCCAAUCAAAUAGCGUCGGAGUACAGGAUGAGGGGCGGCGGGGCUACAGGAUUGAAGAUCCAGCCGCUCGUCGAAGUUCGCAGACACCGACGGCCUCGGCGCGUGCUGCAUCGAUGAGGGUCGCCAGCGAGCCAACAGCCACCUCGUCCAAGUUAUAGUCAGUCCUCGUCAGGGCGGGCCCAGGCGGCGAAGGCUCCAUCCGCGUCGGGCCGAUAGGAGCGCCAUGACCCGCGGGAUCUCCGCGAAGGAGUCCGGGCUGAGCGCGUUCCGCUGGUCCGGGCGGUUGAGCUGCACAUCGUAGACCGACGCCGAGGGGUCGGGAGGAGGGGGCCGGCGGCCCCGGGCACGGGCGUAGGAGGAGUGGAGCUGCGGAGGCAGGGGAGAAUUGCAUUUUUAGCAUUGUUGUUUGCGUGAUGAAAGCUUUAUCAUCGUCUUUGG
This 1965-nucleotide long non-coding RNA is filed under the name Brachypodium distachyon (stiff brome). RNAcentral's name for it is "long non-coding RNA (BDIS_LNC002658)". Lineage: Eukaryota; Viridiplantae; Streptophyta; Magnoliopsida; Poales; Poaceae. The record is from RNAcentral.